CGAGCGGUAGCACAGAGAGCUUGCUCUCGGGUGACGAGCGGCGGACGGGUGAGUAAUGUCUGGGAAACUGCCUGAUGGAGGGGGAUAACUACUGGAAACGGUAGCUAAUACCGCAUAACGUCGCAAGACCAAAGUGGGGGACCUUCGGGCCUCAUGCCAUCAGAUGUGCCCAGAUGGGAUUAGCUAGUAGGUGGGGUAACGGCUCACCUAGGCGACGAUCCCUAGCUGGUCUGAGAGGAUGACCAGCCACACUGGAACUGAGACACGGUCCAGACUCCUACGGGAGGCAGCAGUGGGGAAUAUUGCACAAUGGGCGCAAGCCUGAUGCAGCCAUGCCGCGUGUGUGAAGAAGGCCUUCGGGUUGUAAAGCACUUUCAGCGGGGAGGAAGGCGUUAAGGUUAAUAACCUUGUCGAUUGACGUUACCCGCAGAAGAAGCACCGGCUAACUCCGUGCCAGCAGCCGCGGUAAUACGGAGGGUGCAAGCGUUAAUCGGAAUUACUGGGCGUAAAGCGCACGCAGGCGGUCUGUCAAGUCGGAUGUGAAAUCCCCGGGCUCAACCUGGGAACUGCAUUCGAAACUGGCAGGCUAGAGUCUUGUAGAGGGGGGUAGAAUUCCAGGUGUAGCGGUGAAAUGCGUAGAGAUCUGGAGGAAUACCGGUGGCGAAGGCGGCCCCCUGGACAAAGACUGACGCUCAGGUGCGAAAGCGUGGGGAGCAAACAGGAUUAGAUACCCUGGUAGUCCACGCCGUAAACGAUGUCGAUUUGGAGGUUGUGCCCUUGAGGCGUGGCUUCCGGAGCUAACGCGUUAAAUCGACCGCCUGGAGAGUACGGCCGCAAGGUUAAAACUCAAAUGAAUUGACGGGGGCCCGCACAAGCGGUGGAGCAUGUGGUUUAAUUCGAUGCAACGCGAAGAACCUUACCUGGUCUUGACAUCCACAGAACUUACCAGAGAUGCAUUGGUGCCUUCGGGAACUGUGAGACAGGUGCUGCAUGGCUGUCGUCAGCUCGU
Molecule: ribosomal RNA, 1009 nt
Filed under: Klebsiella variicola
Lineage: Bacteria; Pseudomonadati; Pseudomonadota; Gammaproteobacteria; Enterobacterales; Enterobacteriaceae
Description: bacterial SSU rRNA
Rfam family: Bacterial small subunit ribosomal RNA
Source: RNAcentral